Molecule: ribosomal RNA, 447 nt
Filed under: uncultured bacterium
Lineage: Bacteria
Description: bacterial SSU rRNA
Rfam family: Bacterial small subunit ribosomal RNA
Source: RNAcentral
CCAGACUCCUACGGGAGGCAGCAGUGGGGGAUAUUGCACAAUGGGGGAAACCCUGAUGCAGCGACGCCGCGUGGGUGAAGAAGCGCCUCGGCGCGUAAAGCCCUGUCAGCAGGGAAGAAAAUGACGGUACCUGAAGAAGAAGCCCCGGCUAACUACGUGCCAGCAGCCGCGGUAAUACGUAGGGGGCAAGCGUUAUCCGGAUUUACUGGGUGUAAAGGGGGCGCAGACGGCGAUGCAAGCCAGGAGUGAAAGGCCGGGGCCCAACCCCGGGACUGCUCUUGGAACUGCGGGGCUGGAGUGCAGGAGGGGCAGGCGGAAUUCCUGGUGUAGCGGUGAAAUGCGUAGAUAUCAGGAGGAACACCGGUGGCGAAGGCGGCGUACUGGACUGUAACUGCCGUUGAGGCUCGAAAGCGUGGGGAGCAAACAGGAUUAGAUACCCUCGUAGCA